Molecule: ribosomal RNA, 563 nt
Filed under: Stegastes beebei
Lineage: Eukaryota; Metazoa; Chordata; Actinopteri; Pomacentridae
Description: partial large subunit ribosomal RNA
Rfam family: Bacterial large subunit ribosomal RNA
Source: RNAcentral
UAAGAGGUCCCGCCUGCCCAGUGACCAUGUGUUCAACGGCCGCGGUAUUUUAACCGCGCAAAGGUAGCGUAAUCACUUGUCUUUUAAAUGUAGACCUGUAUGAAUGGCACAACGAGGGCUUAACUGUCUCCUUUUUCCAGUCAAUGAAAUUGAUCUCCCCGUGCAGAAGCGGGGAUGACCCCAUAAGACGAGAAGACCCUGUGGAGCUUUAGACACCAAAACAGACAAUUUACCCUCUCUAGAAAGAGACAAACUUAUUGAAUCCCUGUCAUGAUGUCUUUGGUUGGGGCGACCUCGGAGAAACAAAAAACCCCCGUGUGGAAUAGGAGCAUUUUUCUCUUGAUAGCUCCCAAAACCAAGAGCUACCACUCUAACUAUCAGAACUUCUGACCAAUGAGGAUCCGGCUUAAUGCCGAUCCACGGACCAAGUUACCCCAGGGAUAACAGCGCAAUCCUCUUCUAGAGCCCCUAUCGACAAGAGGGUUUACGACCUCGAUGUUGGAUCAGGGCAUCCUAAUGGUGCAGCCGCUAUUAAGGGUUCGUUUGUUCAACGAUUAAAGCCC